Molecule: ribosomal RNA, 445 nt
Filed under: uncultured bacterium
Lineage: Bacteria
Description: partial 16S ribosomal RNA
Rfam family: Bacterial small subunit ribosomal RNA
Source: RNAcentral
GUGAGGAAUAUUGGUCAAUGGACGAGAGUCUGAACCAGCCAAGUCGCGUGAAGGAAGACGGUUCUAUGAAUUGUAAACUUCUUUUGUGCAGGAAUAAAGUGGGUUACGUGUAACCUUUUGUAUGUACUGUACGAAUAAGGAUCGGCUAACUCCGUGCCAGCAGCCGCGGUAAUACGGAGGAUCCGAGCGUUAUCCGGAUUUAUUGGGUUUAAAUGGUGCGUAGGUGGAUUGAUAAGUCAGCGGUGAAAGUUUGCAGCUUAACUGUAAAAUUGCCGUUGAAACUGUCGGUCUUGAGUGCAAAUGAGGUAGGCGGAAUGUGUUGUGUAGCGGUGAAAUGCUUAGAUAUAACACAGAACUCCGAUUGCGAAGGCAGCUUACUGGGAUGCAACUGACACUGAUGCACGAAAGCGUGGGUAUCAAACAGGAUUAGAAACCCGUGUAGUCC